AAAUGGACUCUCAGCAACGGGAUAUCUUGGCUCUUGC
Molecule: ribosomal RNA, 37 nt
Filed under: Frullania sp. A BlS-2016
Lineage: Eukaryota; Viridiplantae; Streptophyta; Jungermanniopsida; Porellales; Frullaniaceae
Description: partial 5.8S ribosomal RNA
Source: RNAcentral